This 200-nucleotide ribosomal RNA is filed under the name uncultured bacterium. Its description in RNAcentral is "partial 16S ribosomal RNA". It matches the Rfam family "Bacterial small subunit ribosomal RNA", at positions 524 to 722 of the family's 1533-position model. The record is from RNAcentral.
UACGGAGGGGGUUAGCGUUGUUCGGAAUUACUGGGCGUAAAGCGUACGUAGGCGGAUCAGAAAGUUGGGGGUGAAAUCCCGGAGGCUCAACCCGAUGACUGCCUCCAAAACUCCUGGUCUUGAGUUCGAGAGAGGUGAGUGGAAUUCCAAGUGUAGAGGUGAAAUUCGUAGAUAUUUGGAGGAACACCAGUGGCGAAGGC